GUGACCUGUGACAUUGCAGGGCAGGAAUGAGAGCUGCUCUUCAUGAAAAAGGAACCUCAAACGCACUCACCUACCCCUUACCCUGGGUUCUGUGCACCUGUGGCUCCAUUUAUGACUUGCUUUGCUCUCUUCCCUAAUGGAAGUUACUCCCAGGGAAAAGUGACCUUCCCUGGGGGCUGGUACCAGAGAUAGGUCCCCAAGGCUGCCUUCAUCGGAGUGCACCCUCCCAGUCACCAUCAGUCCUGCCUGCUGGCUCUCCUCCCUCCCUCCUGCAGCAGCCUGCGGUUGCCAUGGCAUUGCUGGACUGUCUCCACUUCCUGUUAGAUUGAUUCUGCUGCAGUGCCAGAGAUGCUAAUGGUUCAGCUCAGAUAUGUGGUCAUCCUCUCUUCCUUCAUCAUUGACUGGUUCAUUUGUGAAGAAUAAAUUGUGAGUAAAGAACUCUUAUGGAACACAAAUUACCUAAACGAUUAUAGUUACUGGUAUCAUUUUCUUUUUAAUUUUAUUUUUAUUUUUGAGGCAGGGUCUCCCUCUGUCAUCCAGGCUGGAGUGCAAUGGUACAAUCACAACUCACUGCAGACUCGAUCUCCUGGGCUCAAGUGAUCCUCCCGCCUCAGCCUCCCAAGUAGCUAGAACUGCAGGCAUGCACCACCAUGCUCUGCUAAUUUUAAUUUUGUGUAGAGUUGAGGUCUCACUAUGUUGUCCAGGUUGGUCUCGAGCUCCUGACCUCAGGUGAUCCACCUACCUUGGCCUUCCAAAGUGCUGGGAUUAUAGGCAUGAGCCACUGUGCCUGGCCAAUUUUUAAUUUUUUAAAUUGACAAAUAAAAAUUGGUUUAUUUGUGGUGUACAACAUGAUGUUUUGAACUAUGUAUACAUUGUGG
RNAcentral lists this long non-coding RNA (878 nucleotides) under Homo sapiens (human). RNAcentral's name for it is "HSALNT0086517". The record is from RNAcentral. Lineage: Eukaryota; Metazoa; Chordata; Mammalia; Primates; Hominidae.